CCUACGGGUGGCAGCAGUGAGGAAUAUUGGUCAAUGGACGAGAGUCUGAACCAGCCAAGUAGCGUGAAGGAUGACUGCCCUAUGGGUUGUAAACUUCUUUUAUAUGGGAAUAAAAUGUUCCACGUGUGGGAUUUUGUAUGUACCAUAUGAAUAAGGAUCGGCUAACUCCGUGCCAGCAGCCGCGGUAAUACGGAGGAGCCGAGCGUUAUCCGGAUUUAUUGGGUUUAAAGGGAGCGUAGGUGGAUUGUUAAGUCAGUUGUGAAAGUUUGCGGCUCAACCGGAAAAUUGCAGUUGAAACUGGCAGUCUGGAGUACAGUAGAGGUGGGCGGAAUGUGUGGUGUAGCGGUGAAAUGCUUAGAUAUCACGAAGAACUCCGAUUGCGAAGGCAGCUCACUGGACUGCAACUGACACUGAGGCACGAAAGUGUGGGUAUCAAACAGGAUUAGAUACCCUAGUAGUC
This 460-nucleotide ribosomal RNA is filed under the name uncultured bacterium. Its description in RNAcentral is "partial 16S ribosomal RNA". It matches the Rfam family "Bacterial small subunit ribosomal RNA", at positions 338 to 795 of the family's 1533-position model. The record is from RNAcentral.